UGCUCCGCUCAGGGCCCGCUGCAGGCAGGUGAAAGCCUCCUGGCACUUUUCAGUCCAAACGAAGUCCGUGUCCUUCUGCAGGAGCUGGAACAGGGGCGCAGCUAUGCAGGCAAAACCCCGCACAAACUUUCUGUAGUAUGAGGCUAAGCCCAGGAAGCUCUUCAGCUGCUUCUGAUCAGCGGGGGUGGGCCACCCCAACACGGCCUGCACCUUUUCUUCCAGGGUGCCAAUGCCUCCCCCCCCCACUCUGUGUCCCAGAAACUGCACCUCCCGCUGCAUGAAGUGGCAUUUGUCUGGAUGCAGCUUGAGGCCAGCUCCUCGGAUUCGGCUCAGCACCAGCUGCAGGGACCCCAGGGCAGCAUCAAAGGAGCCACCAUGAACCAGGAUGUCAUCGAGGUAGACCAGACACUGCUGACGUGGUACUCCAGCCAGCACCUUGUCCAUCAGCCUGGCGAAGGUGGCAGGUGCGUUGCACAGUCCAAAACAGAGCACCUUAAACUGCCACAAGCCCCGCCCCGUGCAGAAGGCUGUCUUAGGCCUGGACUCCGGUGAAAGUGGCACUUGGUAAUAUCCACUGCGGAGAUCCAAGGACGAGAACCAGGAGGACCCCGAGACCAAGUCCAGAGACUCGUCAAUGCGAGGGAGGGGGUAGGAAUCCUUCCUGGUUACUCCAUUCACCGGUCUGUAAUCCGAGCAGAGGCGCCACCCCACCACUUUCUUUGGCAUCCUGACGACAGCUGCUGCCCACGGACUGUCUGAAGGCUCAAUGAGAUCUGCCUGCAGCAUCUUCUCCACGGCCUCGUCACAAGCCUGCUGCCGUGCCAGAGGAAGACGCCGUGGGCGGCACUUGAUGGGUUGCGCCUCCCCGGUGUCGAUUUCAUGUUGCAGGAGGUGGGUUCUCCCCACUUCCUCAUCACUAAGGGCAAAACAGUCUCUGAACUGCAGCAGCACCUGCCACAGCUGUUCCCGCUGUUGCGUGUCCAGGCCGCUACAGUUCUUUUCCCAGAUCUGGUUCACCACCGCUAACACCCUCUCUUCCUCUCGGCUGAGGGACGCGGGUGGUGGGGCCGAGAGAAGAUCCCUGCUGAGGCUGGUGUCAGGAUCUACCAACUGUGGAGGAGGGAGGCCAGACAAAAGUCCCGGUGCAGGAGGGGCCGCCACCGUCUCCGCUGUGUUGGUUGUUGGACCAGUGGGGGGUGAAUGGGGCAGGAAACGAGGAAACAGUGUGAUUGACGGGCCCCCUAGAAAGCUCACAGUCCCUCUCAGGAAAUCCAGUUGGCAGCCCGUCGCUCUCAUGAAGUCCAGGCCCAGGAUACACGGGUCUUGGACGGCAGCCACCCAGACAGGGUGACGGAGUGUCUUCUCUCCUACCGUCACCAGCAGCAGUCCUCUGCCCCUCAUGGGAGCCAGCUCCCCUGUAACUGUGCGUAACUGCACCAAGGUGGGUUCCAGCUGGGUUCCCUCUGGAAGCACAUCUGGCCUCACCACAGUCACUGUUGAGCCUGUAUCCACUAGCGCUGGACAGGGCACCCCCUCCACCAAUACAGUAAUGUAGCAGGCGUCUCCUGACGAUGCCCGCCCCACUGCGACCACUGGCUCCCAUCCCAAAUAAUCUGAGCCAA
This 1622-nucleotide long non-coding RNA is filed under the name Xyrichtys novacula (pearly razorfish). The record is from RNAcentral. Lineage: Eukaryota; Metazoa; Chordata; Actinopteri; Labriformes; Labridae.